Monodelphis domestica (gray short-tailed opossum) is the source of this 1073-nucleotide long non-coding RNA. RefSeq lists it as uncharacterized. Lineage: Eukaryota; Metazoa; Chordata; Mammalia; Didelphimorphia; Didelphidae. The record is from RefSeq and is a predicted model, not a curated record.
UAAAAGGCAUUAUGAUAUAGCAAACAGAGAGCCAGCUUUGCAUCAGGAAGACCUGGGUUUAAGUCCUACCUCUGAGAAUCUUGACUGUGUGACCCCAGGUAAAUCAUUCAUUCUCUCAUUGCUUCAUCCAACUAAGACUACAAAUUGUCCUUGGGAAGACAUAAGCAUUGUGUGCUCAUCAUUGUGACCAUCAUUUCAGAAGACUGAUGAUUAAGCAUCUCAUCCUUUUCCUGACAGGGAGAUGACAGACUCAGGAUGCAGAAUUGAGCAUGAUCAGGAAAAGCUUUACCCAGAUGUUUCAUUAUGGCAUGAAGAUAACUUUGGAUUCUAAAAGACCAUGAAAGUGGACUGCAUGGUCUGGCCAAUUCUCCCACACUGGAAGGCAGAGUCAAGAUGGCCACUUAGAAGCAGCAAAUGUCCAGUCCUCUGUGAAAACCCUUCCAUGCCAAUCAAAAAUAAAGUGCUUUGAGGGGACAGAAAACCUCAAUACAAUGGAAGGGUGAAAGAGGUUGGAGAUAGGCUCCAAGAAAAUUUUAAUCAUUACAGUGGGAAGGGUUAAAAAGGUUCAAAUGGAAGGAAAACCUCCAAUUCCAAAUUCAAUAAUAAUCCUCAUCAACAACAUCAACAACAUCAUCAAUAUCAUCAACAUAGGCAACAUCAUCAAGAUCAUCAACAUCAACACAUCAUCAACAUCCACAUCAUCAUCAACAACAUCAACAUCAUCAACAACAUCAUCAUCAAUGCCAUCAACAACACCAUCAACAUCAGCAACAUCAUCAACAUAAUUGUUAUCAACAUCAUUGUCAUUAACACCAUCAACAUCAUUAUCAACAACAUCAUCAUCAUCAAAAUUAUCAACAUCAACACCAUCGACAUCCUCUAUAACAUCAUGAACAUCAUCCUCAUCAACAACAACAUCAUCAAUAUCAUCAUCAACAUCUAACCAUCCAUUUUUUCCUAGCCCAGGAAAGAUUUUUGCUGUGUGGCUUAACCUAAUACCAUACUAUGCAGAGUACUGAAUGAGAUCCAAAAGACCUAUGUAUCCUUUGGGAGUAAAAAGAAAUCCCUCUUUU